ACAACCCGUAUAAUAUAUAUCUAAAUUAAUUUGAUACAAAUGUUAUUAUUUGGUAUUGACACAAUUAUAAGUACCUAUUGGCAUCAUUAUAUACACAUGUUUAAAAUAAAACAAAAAUGACACAUGUCAUACAAUAAAGCCUAAAAAUAAAAAUCUAAGAACUAUGUAGAAUAUCUUCAUUGUACACAACUCCACAGCGGAAGAUCACGAUAAUCACCGUCCCUUGAAACAUUAGUAGAUAACUUCUCUUGAAUUCGACAUGCAAGGAAUACCUGAAAAAUAACAACAAUAAUAGGAUGAGAUAAUAAUCUCAGUGAGUUCUCCUAUCUUAUGGGUCCACUCGGCUCUACAGGGUUCCUACUCGAUUCUAACUCAAGUUUUCACCUUCCGUUACCUGUGCAUCAUUCGCACCUUGUAACUAGGACUUGAAUAUCUAAGGGGUAAUCGGAAUGUACAGAAACAUGUUAUUUGAGUGCAUCCACUCAACAAAUCACUAUUCGGACGUACGAAACAUCAAUCCUCGAAUAGUCUUACGUCUAAGCCAGGCCCGAUUCAUGCAUGCUCGUAUGAUUCGACUUUCGCGGUGGAUAUCGGGUCCUCUAUGAGUUCCAAACUAAUUUCAAGAAACUGUCACCCAUAUGGGACUCUAACCCACUUAGGGUAUCUUUCACCGUAUAGGACUCUAACCCACUUAGGUGUCCACCAUUCCCCCAUGUCUGCCAUGGUUGGGGCUCAAACCCAAUUGAGGCACGAAUCAUUGAUUCCACAUCCCCACUUACCGAUUUACCUAAGCCUUUGAAGUGGUACGUGCACAAGCAAAACUAAUUCUGAAUACGUGAUUAAAUCACAAUAAUAAAUAGGACUUUUUGAGCAACGCUCCUCACCAAAAUAGGGCUUUUGGAACGAAAGUUCCUCACCCAAAUAUCAAAAAAAUCUCAUGAUAUCAUAAAAUGAUCCAUUCUCAUACAUAAAUCACACAUGUUCCAUACAAAGCAUGUUAGCGUAUCAUUUUGUGACUACUUAUUCUUUGUACACACCACGAUACUAUUACGUCCAAGCAUCACUAUCUAAAUCACUUCAUAACUUAAGUUAUCUUUCUAAGUCAUUUACCUAAUAUUGUCCUAGGUUUACCUCACUCAUAAGUUUUAGUCAUUUUAUUGUGUAACCAAUACAAUCAACCAAUCAUAAGCUCUUAAUUAUUCAUGCACACACACAAGUACCACAAUCAACAACAUGUAUAACAUUCAUUAAAGUCCUCAAGAUGACAUAACAUGCUACAAGGUCCAUAGGCAAUGUUAUCACUCAACCCGCUGCAAUCUAACUCAUUAACCGAUCAUUCUAACCUAGUCGGAGAUCUAGGUUAAAACAUACACAAAGUCAUAUAAAUCGACCGAUUAAUGUUAAUCUAAUGCAUACACAUCAUGGUAUAAGUUAUAAUGCAUCCAAGUUGGUUUAGAAACAUGAAAUAAGUGGUUUUCCGAAAAACAAGGCUGAACCAAUCGAUUACAUGAAGUUUCUGUAACGUAUUUUUCACAAAAUUGACAGGACCAAUCGAUUGGUCUGCCAUGUCAAUCGAUUGACAUCAGUAAAAAUUCAGUUUUUUCUUCUCAUAAUCAUGAACCAAUUGAUUGGUUCUGCAAUUUUUCUGCAACCAAUCGAUUGACACCUGCAUAAUCUCUAAAAAUACCUCUUCUAAACAUUCUUCCUUCCAAAAUUAAUCAUACCCAUCCAUUCUAAAAUAUAUAUUAUCGUGAAUCAUGUGGUUAACCUCCAUCAUUUGAAUAACAAAACACAUAACAUCAAGCACUAAACAACAACAACAACAACAACAUGGUACCAACACAUAGCAUCCAAAGGAAGUAUGAACAUAACAAUUGCAUCAUAUAUUCACACAAAUCCUAACUCCCAAAACAUAUAUUAUUCCCCCCCCCCCCUAAAGGCUAAUUCCUAUCUAGAACUCACCUUGAAGAUGAAGAUGGUGAGAAGAAGAUGAGAUGGUGUUGGUGAAGAUGAUGAGUAGAAAAUG
RNAcentral lists this long non-coding RNA (2026 nucleotides) under Lathyrus oleraceus (garden pea). Its description in RNAcentral is "Pisum sativum (pea) long non-coding RNA (PSAT_LNC029205)". Lineage: Eukaryota; Viridiplantae; Streptophyta; Magnoliopsida; Fabales; Fabaceae. The record is from RNAcentral.